UGCCGACCUGGAUGGGCCGGUCCGCGCGGUUGGCCACCGUGACGGCGGUCACGGGCCGCCCGGCGUUCAAUUCGAUGUCACCGUCC
This 86-nucleotide transfer RNA is filed under the name Deinococcus metalli. Its description in RNAcentral is "tRNA-Ala". The record is from RNAcentral. Lineage: Bacteria; Thermotogati; Deinococcota; Deinococci; Deinococcales; Deinococcaceae.